GACGAACGCUGGCGGCGUGCCUAAUACAUGCAAGUUGAGCGCUGAAGGUUGGUACUUGUACCAACUGGAUGAGCAGCGAACGGGUGAGUAACGCGUGGGGAAUCUGCCUUUGAGCGGGGGACAACAUUUGGAAACGAAUGCUAAUACCGCAUAAAAACUUUAAACACAAGUUUUAAGUUUGAAAGAUACAAUUGCAUCACUCAAAGAUGAUCCCGCGUUGUAUUAGCUAGUUGGUGAGGUAAAGGCUCACCAAGGCGAUGAUACAUAGCCGACCUGAGAGGGUGAUCGGCCACAUUGGGACUGAGACACGGCCCAAACUCCUACGGGAGGCAGCAGUAGGGAAUCUUCGGCAAUGGACGAAAGUCUGACCGAGCGACGCCGCGUGAGUGAAGAAGGUUUUCGGAUCGUAAAACUCUGUUGGUAGAGAAGAACGUUGGUGAGAGUGGAAAGCUCAUCAAGUGACGGUAACUACCCAGAAAGGGACGGCUAACUACGUG
Molecule: ribosomal RNA, 497 nt
Filed under: uncultured bacterium
Lineage: Bacteria
Description: partial 16S ribosomal RNA
Rfam family: Bacterial small subunit ribosomal RNA
Source: RNAcentral